Molecule: ribosomal RNA, 466 nt
Filed under: uncultured bacterium
Lineage: Bacteria
Description: partial 16S ribosomal RNA
Rfam family: Bacterial small subunit ribosomal RNA
Source: RNAcentral
CGAACGCUGGCGGCGUGCUUCACACAUGCAAGUCGAACGGAAAGGCCCUGCUUUUGUGGGGUGCUCGAGUGGCGAACGGGUGAGUAACACGUGAGUAACCUGCCCUUGACUUUGGGAUAACUUCAGGAAACUGGGGCUAAUACCGGAUAGGAGCUCCUGCUGCAUGGUGGGGGUUGGAAAGUUUCGGCGGUUGGGGAUGGACUCGCGGCUUAUCAGCUUGUUGGUGGGGUAGUGGCUUACCAAGGCUUUGACGGGUAGCCGGCCUGAGAGGGUGACCGGCCACAUUGGGACUGCGAUACGGCCCAGACUCCUACGGGAGGCAGCAGUGGGGAAUAUUGCACAAUGGGCGGAAGCCUGAUGCAGCAACGCCGCGUGCGGGAUGACGGCCUUCGGGUUGUAAACCGCUUUCGCCUGUGACGAAGCGUGAGUGACGGUAAUGGGUAAAGAAGCACCGGCUAACUACGUG